This 234-nucleotide long non-coding RNA is filed under the name Catharus ustulatus (Swainson's thrush). RNAcentral describes it as "lncRNA (ENSCUSG00005001943.1)". Lineage: Eukaryota; Metazoa; Chordata; Aves; Passeriformes; Turdidae. The record is from RNAcentral.
GCUCUGAGCUCUAAUGCUCUAAAGACUUUGAGACCAUCUGUUUGAAAAAAUGCCUCUUUUACCUUGCUGGGCAUGUCUGAUGGAAGCCAUCACAGCAGAACAAGUUCUGACUGUGGUCCUCAAAGGAAGGAAAUAUCAUCACAACAUCUGUUUCCAGAAAUCUCAAAAUCAGCCAAAGGUAAGGUUUGUGGGUGUAUUUUUGUGCCCACUGCUUAUCUCUAAAUACAGUAGUGA